Molecule: ribosomal RNA, 1148 nt
Filed under: Bacillus sp. (in: firmicutes)
Lineage: Bacteria; Bacillati; Bacillota; Bacilli; Caryophanales; Bacillaceae
Description: bacterial SSU rRNA
Rfam family: Bacterial small subunit ribosomal RNA
Source: RNAcentral
AGAGUUUGAUCAUGGCUCAGGACGAACGCUGGCGGCGUGCCUAAUACAUGCAAGUCGAGCGGACCGACGGGAGCUUGCUCCCUUAGGUCAGCGGCGGACGGGUGAGUAACACGUGGGUAACCUGCCUGUAAGACUGGGAUAACUCCGGGAAACCGGGGCUAAUACCGGAUGCUUGAUUGAACCGCAUGGUUCAAUCAUAAAAGGUGGCUUUUAGCUACCACUUACAGAUGGACCCGCGGCGCAUUAGCUAGUUGGUGAGGUAACGGCUCACCAAGGCGACGAUGCGUAGCCGACCUGAGAGGGUGAUCGGCCACACUGGGACUGAGACACGGCCCAGACUCCUACGGGAGGCAGCAGUAGGGAAUCUUCCGCAAUGGACGAAAGUCUGACGGAGCAACGCCGCGUGAGUGAUGAAGGUUUUCGGAUCGUAAAACUCUGUUGUUAGGGAAGAACAAGUACCGUUCGAAUAGGGCGGUACCUUGACGGUACCUAACCAGAAAGCCACGGCUAACUACGUGCCAGCAGCCGCGGUAAUACGUAGGUGGCAAGCGUUGUCCGGAAUUAUUGGGCGUAAAGCGCGCGCAGGCGGUUUCUUAAGUCUGAUGUGAAAGCCCCCGGCUCAACCGGGGAGGGUCAUUGGAAACUGGGGAACUUGAGUGCAGAAGAGGAGAGUGGAAUUCCACGUGUAGCGGUGAAAUGCGUAGAGAUGUGGAGGAACACCAGUGGCGAAGGCGACUCUCUGGUCUGCAACUGACGCUGAGGCGCGAAAGCGUGGGGAGCGAACAGGAUUAGAUACCCUGGUAGUCCACGCCGUAAACGAUGAGUGCUAAGUGUUAGAGGGUUUCCGCCCUUUAGUGCUGCAGCAAACGCAUUAAGCACUCCGCCUGGGGAGUACGGUCGCAAGACUGAAACUCAAAGGAAUUGACGGGGGCCCGCACAAGCGGUGGAGCAUGUGGUUUAAUUCGAAGCAACGCGAAGAACCUUACCAGGUCUUGACAUCCUCUGACAACCCUAGAGAUAGGGCUUCCCCUUCGGGGGCAGAGUGACAGGUGGUGCAUGGUUGUCGUCAGCUCGUGUCUGGAAAUGUUGGGUUAAGUCCCGCACCAAGCGCAACCCUUGAUCUUAUUUGCCAGCAUUCAGUUGGGCAU